This 1133-nucleotide ribosomal RNA is filed under the name Bacillus sp. RA23. RNAcentral describes it as "bacterial SSU rRNA". It matches the Rfam family "Bacterial small subunit ribosomal RNA", at positions 37 to 1183 of the family's 1533-position model. Lineage: Bacteria; Bacillati; Bacillota; Bacilli; Caryophanales; Bacillaceae. The record is from RNAcentral.
CGGGGGGGGGCGCCUAUCUGCAAGUCGAGCGGACAGAUGGGAGCUUGCUCCCUGAUGUUAGCGGCGGACGGGUGAGUAACACGUGGGUAACCUGCCUGUAAGACUGGGAUAACUCCGGGAAACCGGGGCUAAUACCGGAUGGUUGUUUGAACCGCAUGGUUCAAACAUAAAAGGUGGCUUCGGCUACCACUUACAGAUGGACCCGCGGCGCAUUAGCUAGUUGGUGAGGUAACGGCUCACCAAGGCAACGAUGCGUAGCCGACCUGAGAGGGUGAUCGGCCACACUGGGACUGAGACACGGCCCAGACUCCUACGGGAGGCAGCAGUAGGGAAUCUUCCGCAAUGGACGAAAGUCUGACGGAGCAACGCCGCGUGAGUGAUGAAGGUUUUCGGAUCGUAAAGCUCUGUUGUUAGGGAAGAACAAGUACCGUUCGAAUAGGGCGGUACCUUGACGGUACCUAACCAGAAAGCCACGGCUAACUACGUGCCAGCAGCCGCGGUAAUACGUAGGUGGCAAGCGUUGUCCGGAAUUAUUGGGCGUAAAGGGCUCGCAGGCGGUUUCUUAAGUCUGAUGUGAAAGCCCCCGGCUCAACCGGGGAGGGUCAUUGGAAACUGGGGAACUUGAGUGCAGAAGAGGAGAGUGGAAUUCCACGUGUAGCGGUGAAAUGCGUAGAGAUGUGGAGGAACACCAGUGGCGAAGGCGACUCUCUGGUCUGUAACUGACGCUGAGGAGCGAAAGCGUGGGGAGCGAACAGGAUUAGAUACCCUGGUAGUCCACGCCGUAACGAUGAGUGCUAAGUGUUAGGGGUUUCCGCCCCUUAGUGCUGCAGCUAACGCAUUAAGCACUCCGCCUGGGGAGUACGGUCGCAAGACUGAAACUCAAAGGAAUUGACGGGGGCCCGCACAAGCGGUGGAGCAUGUGGGUUAAUUCGAAGCAACGCGAAGAACCCUACCAGGUCUGACAUCUCUGACAAUCCUAGAGAUAGGACGUCCCUUCGGGGCAGAGUGACAGUGUGCAUGAUUCGUCAGCCCCUGUCCGGGAAUGUGGUAGUCCCGCACGAGCGCAACCUGAUCUAGUGCAGCAUUCAGUGGCACUCUAGUGACUGCGUGACAAACCGGAGAAGGUGGAUGAA